This 700-nucleotide ribosomal RNA is filed under the name uncultured bacterium. RNAcentral describes it as "bacterial SSU rRNA". It matches the Rfam family "Bacterial small subunit ribosomal RNA", at positions 789 to 1503 of the family's 1533-position model. The record is from RNAcentral.
GGUAGUCCACGCCGUAAACGAUGAUCACUCGCUGUUGGCGAUAUAAUGCCAGCGGCCAAGCGAAAGCAUUAAGUGAUCCACCUGGGGAGUACGUUCGCAAGAAUGAAACUCAAAGGAAUUGACGGGGGCCCGCACAAGCGGUGGAGCAUGUGGUUUAAUUCGAUGAUACGCGAGGAACCUUACCUGGGCUUAAAUGUAGUGUGACAGACUUGGAAACAGGUUUUUCUUCGGACACAUUACAAGGUGCUGCAUGGUUGUCGUCAGCUCGUGCCGUGAGGUGUCGGGUUAAGUCCCAUAACGAGCGCAACCCCUAUCUUUAGUUGCCAGCGGUUCGGCCGGGGACUCUAAAGAAACUGCCCGCGCAAGCGGAGAGGAAGGUGGGGAUGACGUCAAAUCAUCACGGCCCUUACGUCCAGGGCUACACACGUGCUACAAUGGUGUUGACAGAGGGCAGCUACCCUGCGAAGGGGAGCGAAUCCUUUAAACAACAUCUCAGUUCGGAUCGCAGUCUGCAACUCGACUGCGUGAAGCUGGAAUCGCUAGUAAUCGCAUAUCAGCCAUGAUGCGGUGAAUACGUUCCCGGGCCUUGUACACACCGCCCGUCAAGCCAUGGGAGCCGGGGGUGCCUGAAGUCGGUAACCGCAAGGAGCUGCCUAGGGUAAAACUGGUGACUGGGGCUAAGUCGUAACAAGGUACCCGU